Molecule: ribosomal RNA, 852 nt
Filed under: uncultured cyanobacterium
Lineage: Bacteria; Bacillati; Cyanobacteriota
Description: bacterial SSU rRNA
Rfam family: Bacterial small subunit ribosomal RNA
Source: RNAcentral
CAAGUCGAACGAGAUUAUUUUUUUGUUUACAAAGAAAUGAUUGCAGUGGCGGACGGGUGAGGAACACGUAAGAACUUACCUUUUGGCGGGGGAUAACAACGGGAAACUGUUGCUAAUACCCCAUAAUGCUGAGGAGCGAAAGGGAAACUGCCAAAAGAGAGGCUUGCGUCUGAUUAGCUAGUUGGCGGAGGUAAAUGCUCCCCAAGGCGACGAUCAGUAGCUGGUCUGAGAGGAUGAUCAGCCACACUGGGACUGAGACACGGCCCAGACUCCUACGGGAGGCAGCAGUGGGGAAUUUUCCACAAUGGGCGAAAGCCUGAUGGAGCAAUACCGCGUGAAGGAUGAAGGAUCGUGGUCCGUAAACUUCUUUUCUUAACGAAGAAAAUCUGACGGUAGUUAAGGAAUAAGCACCGGCUAACUCCGUGCCAGCAGCCGCGGUAAUACGGGGGGUGCAAGCGUUGUCCGGAAUGAUUGGGCGUAAAGCAUCUGUAGGUGGUUUUUAAAGUCGACUGUUAAAGCCCAGGGCUCAACUUUGGAUAAGCGGUCGAGUACUUAAGGACUUGAGUAUGGUAGGGGGUAGAAGGGAAUUCCUAGUGGAGCGGUGAAAUGCACAGAGAUUAGGAAGAACACCGAGGGCGAAAGCACUCUACUGGGCCAUGACUGACACUGAGAGAUGAAAGUUGGGGGAGCGAAAAGGAUUAGAUACCCUUGUAGUCCCAACCGUAAACGAUGGAUACUAAGUGCUGACAAAAUCAGUGCUGUAGCUAACGCGUUAAGUAUCCCGCCUGGGGAGUAUGCUCGCAAGAGUGAAACUCAAAGGAAUUGACGGGAACUGGCACAAGCGGUGGAUUA